This 1175-nucleotide unclassified non-coding RNA is filed under the name uncultured Bordetella sp. RNAcentral's name for it is "partial 16S-23S ribosomal RNA intergenic spacer". It matches the Rfam family "Bacterial small subunit ribosomal RNA", at positions 10 to 1207 of the family's 1533-position model. Lineage: Bacteria; Pseudomonadati; Pseudomonadota; Betaproteobacteria; Burkholderiales; Alcaligenaceae. The record is from RNAcentral.
AGUUUGAUCAUGGCUCAGAUUGAACGCUGGCGGGAUGCUUGCCACAUGCAAGUCGAACGGCAGCACGGACUUCGGUCUGGUGGCGAGUGGCGAACGGGUGAGUAAUGUAUCGGAACGUGCCUAGUAGCGGGGGAUAACUACGCGAAAGCGUAGCUAAUACCGCAUACGCCCUCCGGGGGAAAGCGGGACCUCGGGCCUCGCACUAUUAGAGCGGCCGAUAUCGGAUUAGCUGGUGGGGUAACGGCUCACCAAGGCGACGAUCCGUAGCUGGUUUGAGAGGACGACCAGCCACACCUGGGACUGUAUAUACGGCCCAGACUCCUACGGGAGGCAGCAGUGGGGAAUUUUGGACAAUGGUGAAACUUGAUCCAGCCAUCCCGCGUGUGCGAUAGCUCCUGGGUUGUAAAGCACUUUUGCGGAAGAAACGGCACGGAUAAACACCCGUGCAACUGACGGUACCUUGCAGAAUAAGCACCGGCUAACUACGUGCAAGCAGCCGCGGUAAUACGUAGGGGUGCAAGCGUUAAUCGGAAUUACUGCGUAAAGCGUGCGCAGGCGGUUCGGAAGGAAAGAUGAAAUCCUGGCGAGCUUAACUUUUGGAACCGGUAUUUUUAACUACCGAGCUAGAGUGUGUCAGAGGGAGGUGGACUCCGCGUGUAGCGGUGAAAUGCGUAUAUGCGGAGGAACACCGAUGGCGAAGGCAGCCUCCUGGGAUACCGGACGCCGGCACGAAAGCGUGGGAGCAAACAGGAUUAGAUACCUUGGUAGUCCACGCCCUAAACGAUGUCAACUAGCUGUUGGGGCCUUCGGGCCUUGGUAGCGUGCGCCAACGCGUGAAGUUGACCGCCUGGGGAGUACGGUCGCAAGAUUAAAACUCAAAGGGUCUGACGGGGACCCGCACAAGCGGUGGAUGAUGUGGAUUAAUUCGAUGCAACGCGAAAACCUUACCUACCCUUGACAUGUCUCAACCUGGAAGAGAUUUGGGAGUUCUUGCAAGAGAACCGAACACAGGUGCUGCAUGGCUGUCGUCGUGCUCGUGUCGAGAUGUUGGGUUAAGUCCCGCAACGCGAGCGCAACCUUGUCAUUAGUUGCUACGAAAGGGCACUUUAAUGAGACUGCCAGACAAACCGGAGGAAGGUGGGGAUGACGUCAAGUUCCCCAAGUGGCCCUUACGG